This 378-nucleotide ribosomal RNA is filed under the name uncultured bacterium. RNAcentral describes it as "bacterial SSU rRNA". It matches the Rfam family "Bacterial small subunit ribosomal RNA", at positions 117 to 507 of the family's 1533-position model. The record is from RNAcentral.
GUGAGAAAUCCUGCCUUCAACACUGGGAUAACUCCGGGAAACCGGGGCUAAUACCGGAUAUGAAACCUGCGGGCAUCCGCGGGUUUGGAAAGUUUUUCGGUUGAAGAUGAUCUCGCGGCCUAUCAGCUUGUUGGUGAGGUAAUGGGCUUCACCCAAGGCGACACGGGUAGCCGGCCUGANAGGGCGACCGGCCACACUGGGACUGAGACACGGCCCAGACUCCUACGGGAGGCAGCAGUGGGGAAUAUUGGGCAAUGGAGGAAACUCUGACCCAGCGACGCCGCGUGCGGGAUGAAGGCCUUCGGGUUGUAAACCGCUUUCAGCAGGGAAGAAGCGAAAGUGACGGUACCUGCAGAAGAAGCACCGGCUAACUAUGUG